Molecule: RNA transcript, 2548 nt
Organism: Setaria italica (foxtail millet)
Lineage: Eukaryota; Viridiplantae; Streptophyta; Magnoliopsida; Poales; Poaceae
Gene name: putative disease resistance protein RGA3
Exons: 2
Source: RefSeq, a predicted model, not a curated record
GAGUCAACCAAGCGGAACGAAAGCGACGACCAAGAAUCCCCAUCCAAGCCAACGGGCAACGAGGUAGCUCCCCGCAGCCAAAUCGAUUCCCGACGAUGGCCGCGCCCGCGCCAGCGCCAGCGCCGUGGCCCGUGUCGCAGGACCUCGCCGCGCUCGCCGGCCGCGCCCGCUCCCUGUCCCGGGGCGACGCCGGCCUUGCGGGCCUCGCCGCGGCGCUCCUCCGGAUCCAGCCCGUCGCCCGGGAGCUGGAGCGCCGGGCGUGGCCCCCGCCCGCCAGGGCCGAGGCCCCCGCGCUGCACGCCUGGCUCGCCGAGCUCGGGGCCGCCUUGGCCGAAGCCGAGGACCUCCUGGACGAGCUCCACCGCCGGCGCCUGGCCGGCUCCGCGAUCUCCAACUGCGUCGGUGCCGCGUUCCGUGGCCCCGCCCGGAAGCUGCGGCGCCUGGCCCAGAGGCUCGACUGCGCCCGCGACGACUCGGAGCGGCUGCGGCUUGGAAGCGCAGCGGGGUGCGGGGUGCGGUCGCCGAACCGCGUGACGGGCUCGGUGCUCGCGGAGCGGAGGGUCUUUGGGCGUGACAAAGAGUGCGACGACAUAGUCGGCAGGCUCAUCGGUGACUGCGUCGAAAUUUUUCCUUCAGUAACGCCAGUUGUUGCAGUGGUUGGCCAUGGAGGCAUGGGAAAGACCGUGCUUGCUCAGUGCGUGUACAAUGAUGCGAGGGUUCAAGGGUAUUUUGAUCUUAGAGUUUGGAUCUGCGUCUGGGAUAGGUUGGAUGAAGCUGAGCUCACCAGGGAGAUAUUGCAGUCCAUUGGUGGUGUAGAUGAUACACCCUAUGACGAGAGUUUGGAAACAUUGCAGGAGAAGCUUGGGGAAGUGGUUGCGUCGAAGAAGUUCUUCCUAGUUCUUGAUGAUGUUUGGAAUGAUGAGGGGAAGACCGAGCUGGAGAAUAGGUCUGUGUGGAACAAAGUGUUGGCACCUAUUAGCUCUGCCGCAAUCGGGAGCAAGAUCUUGGUGACCACUCGGAUGAAGCUAGUAGCAGAGGUUCUGAAUGCAUCAUAUGUGGUCACGCUUGACGGAUUAAAAAUUGUGGAUUGUUUGUUGUUGUUGAAGGAAACUGCGUUGGGUAGUGAAACCAUGGAGAUUCCUCAAGAUCUACUAGAGUUUGGGAGAGCCAUUGCUGCAAAGGUGAAGGGUUCACCUUUAGCCACCAAAGUUAUUGGGGAAAUGCUAAGGAACACCAGGAGCACACAGAAAUGGAGAGCACUGAUGGACACAGAAAUUUGUGAUAAUAUUAUUAUCUCCUCCCUCCAACUCAGUUAUCAACACUUGCCAGGUCAUCUCCAGCGCUGCUUUGCAUACUGCAGCAUUUUUCCAACGACUUGGAGGUUUAAUCGAUAUAAGUUGGUCAAAAUGUGGAUAGCUCUCGGUUUCGUUCAAACACCAUCAGAAGGGAAAAGGCUGGAAGAUUUAGGGUACAAAUACUUUGAUGAUCUCUUAUCACGGUCCUUCUUUGGGUCUGCAAAUAAAGAUCAGCAAACAUAUUACUUCCUGGAUGACCUAAUGCACAUUUUGGCGCAUCAUUUUUCUGCUCAAGAUUGCAUGAAAAUUAAUGAGGACAUCCCUGUUGUGAUUCCACCAACAGUUCGUCACCUAUCUGUCUCAACUGAUUAUUUACCACAGCUGAAGAGCAAAUACAGGUUGGGAAGGCUGCGGACAUUAUUAGUUCUUGGAAGCUCGUCGUUAUCCUCGAGUCAUUUCCCUGGUAAACUUCUGGCCAAAUUUAAGAACUUGCGAGUCUUGGAUCUAAGUGAAUCUGAUAUUGCAGAAUUACCAGAUUCCAUUAGUCAGUUGGUUCAUCUCCAUUACCUAGCUUUGUGCAGUAUAAUUAACAAACUUCCCAAGAGUAUAUACAGGCUUCAAUAUCUUGAGGUUCUAACCGUAUUGUUUUUCCAUGAUAACCAUCCUGGAGGUGCUGACAAAUUUGUUACUGUGAAACAUAUCAAAACAUGCUAUGAACAUAAGGCCAAUAGAUUGGUGUGUAAUGCUAUGCAUAAAAAUUGAACUCUGUUCUUCUUAGGUGGCAGUGUUAUGGGCAAAGCAUCAACCUGCGAGGUUGAUUUAAUAACAUGACCAGCUGCCUGGUGUGCUUUCAGAAUAAAACUUUACAAAUGAUCCCAGGAGCAGACAUGAAGUGCAAUGUUUUUUUUUCCCGAGGGAAGAGCAAUUUGAUACCUUCAAGCUCUUGAAUUCAUUUGGUGUCAGAAUAACUCCAAUUUGGUGGAUCAAGAAUCUGGUUGUUCACAUCCUUCGGAACUUUGAACUGUUCCCUAUUAGUUUGUUUGCUGAUCUCCAGGAUGGCACUUGGCAGCCUUUGAAGCCCCCAAUGGCUGGAGUAUCUGCCAGUUCUCCCUAAUUUUUUUGGUUUGCACCCAAUCAGAUGAAGAACUUGCAGCGAAGAUGGGAAGCGACUUGGCAGCGACUCCAACUCAGCACAAUUCAUAAUGCUCAGUUUUCUAAGAGAAUUGUUGUUGAAGUUGGUAGGGAAAGAUUCC